Molecule: long non-coding RNA, 1781 nt
Organism: Clupea harengus (Atlantic herring)
Lineage: Eukaryota; Metazoa; Chordata; Actinopteri; Clupeiformes; Clupeidae
Source: RefSeq, a predicted model, not a curated record
GUGGUCGUCACAGACCCUCCUCUGUGUCCUGAUGACUGAAUCUGGGCCAUCACGUGUGCCAAACAUUCCUUUUGUUUUUAUCAGACGCGACCCCCCGACGAUCGCAUGUACUAGUCAACCGUUCACCCUGAGUAAGCCCUUUUUAUUCGCUCACAUGUUUGUGUAACAAAAACAUAUAACCUUCAAUGGAAUAUAUAUUUGAAUGGCAGAAUUCAACAGCCGCUCAAAAAGGUCUUUUUAGUUUGCAUUCUUCACGUGUAUCUCAUGGCUCUACUGGUCAAGUGCGCCCUCUCUGCCUUGGAACACUUGCAAAUGAGGAUGAGUAUUUGCAUGGGCCCUAUCCCCCAGGGGAAACCCAGUUCCAGGCAGUUGCACAUCAACAAUGCCUGCUUUCACAUCGGCACUCCACGAUGUUCAGUCCAGGAAUGGUUUGGCAAUGAUCUGUCCUAAAGGUUUGUGAUUUUGAAAGCCGUAUUUCCAGUUCUACUGGUAGAGAGGGUCAUGUGAGAGUGACUGGGUUUGAAUGGUGGUUUGGUUCUCGGCGUAACGUUGGGUGAGUGCAGGAUUAGGCAAAGCAGGGGGUGAGAGAAAUGUGCUCUUCACUGCCCACACUCCCACACUCCCUGAGGGACUUACAGUAGAGGGGGUGGGCGAACAGAGCUUAAGGGUCAGGAGGCCGAAUCACAGCUGUCUGCCUGUGUUCAAGAGAACAGGGGUUGCACAGCUGAUUGAGUCACUGAUUCAGGAUCCAGCCAAGGCAGUGAGCCUAAGAAAGAGACCGAGGCCUGCGUCUGUUUAAGGGAUCGGUGGAGGGAGGGACGUGUGGGGGUGACUACAUAUCUUCGUACAUUCUUAAGUCUUAAGAAAAUAUUCUUUUUACCUCUGGUUAUGUUUUCGGUUCGGUUUGUUUGUUUGUCUGUCAGUAGGAUUACGCAAAAACUACCAGGCCGAUUUUUUUUUUUUCAUGCAAAUUCACCCCUUGGUGGAGGGGUGUAGCACGGGCCAGGGGGAAAUCCAUUUCGGAGCGGUUCUGAAUGAAGGGCCGGAUCCAGAUUUCUUUCCCACUUUCUUUAACGUUGUGAAAUAGGGCAUUUGCCCUUGGUCGGAGGUCUGCACUUCUAGUUUCAUGCUGGGUUCUUGUUUCUCUGAUCUUUCUGUGCCGUAAGGUCUACAUUAGUAAUAGUUAUAGGGCCCUGUCCACCUGCCCUCAUCUACCAUUAUCACACUUUAAACUAGAACACACACAUCACAUCACAUACCUUCACCAAGGCCCAACAGUCCCCUUCAAUGGCGUAUCUUGCAACAUUGGUGAAAGCGAAACUAAAUGUGUGCAUGCGCGCCCCUUUAGUCAGAUCGACUCUUCCUCGGCCCAUGCAACACUCUCCCAGCAAGUUUCAUGAAAAUAGAGCCAGUAGUUUUUUUGCGUAAUCCUGCUAACAAACAAACAAAUGGACAGAGGCGGAGGUAAACAUACUGGGUUGUUGGGUUAUUUGAACUCAUUCUGGGUUCAUUUCUGUAACCCAGCAGCUGGCUAGUAGCUCCGUUGUGACAUUAUUUGUGCUAUGUAACAAGUUGAAAAAAGGCGCUAUUCUUCUAACCGUCCUGUCCAGCAGUUUUCAUCGUGCACAGGAAAACGGGCCGUAUAUGGAGUGAAAUAAAGAUCUAACGUUACCCCAAAAAUGGAUGGGACAGUGGAAUUCCCCCUCAUGAUGGAAAGUAACUAACACUUACUUUUUAAAGAUACGCCUGUUAUGUUGUAAAAUAAAAAUCAAUUGUCUGAA